CCCAGACUCCUACGGGAGGCAGCAGUGAGGAAUAUUGGUCAAUGGGCGCAAGCCUGAACCAGCCAAGUCGCGUGAGGGAUGACGGUCCUAUGGAUUGUAAACCUCUUUUGUCGGGGAGCAAGGCCCGCCACGUGUGGCGGGAAGGAGAGUACCCGAAGAAAAAGCAUCGGCUAACUCCGUGCCAGCAGCCGCGGUAAUACGGAGGAUGCGAGCGUUAUCCGGAUUUAUUGGGUUUAAAGGGUGCGUAGGCGGAAGGUUAAGUCAGGGGUCAAAUGUCGGUGCUCAACACCGGCCUGCCGUUGAAACUGGUCUUCUUGAGUGAGCGAGAAGUAUGCGGAAUGCGUGGUGUAGCGGUGAAAUGCAUAGAUAUCACGCAGAACUCCGAUUGCGAAGGCAGCAUACCGGCGCUCAACUGACGCUGAGGCACGAAAGCGUGGGGAUCGAACAGGAUUAGAUACCCGCG
Molecule: ribosomal RNA, 463 nt
Filed under: uncultured bacterium
Lineage: Bacteria
Description: bacterial SSU rRNA
Rfam family: Bacterial small subunit ribosomal RNA
Source: RNAcentral